CCUACGUGAGGCAGCAGUGAGGAAUAUUGGUCAAUGGGCUUACGCCUGAACCAGCCAAGUCGCGUGAGGGAAGACUGCCCUAUGGGUUGUAAACCUCUUUUGUCAGGGAGCAACGCCGGCUACGUGUAGCCGGACUGAGAGUACCUGAAGAAAAAGCAUCGGCUAACUCCGUGCCAGCAGCCGCGGUAAUACGGAGGAUGCGAGCGUUAUCCGGAUUUAUUGGGUUUAAAGGGUGCGUAGGCGGAAUGCCAAGUCAGCGGUAAAAUCGCGGGGCUCAACCUCGCUCCGCCGUUGAAACUGGCGUUCUUGAGUGGGCUAGAAGUAUGCGGAAUGCGUGGUGUAGCGGUGAAAUGCAUAGAUAUCACGCAGAACUCCGAUUGCGAAGGCAGCAUACCGGCGCCCAACUGACGCUGAAGCACGAAAGCGUGGGUAUCGAACAGGAUUAGAUACCCCAGUAGUC
RNAcentral lists this ribosomal RNA (460 nucleotides) under uncultured bacterium. RNAcentral describes it as "partial 16S ribosomal RNA". It matches the Rfam family "Bacterial small subunit ribosomal RNA", at positions 338 to 795 of the family's 1533-position model. The record is from RNAcentral.